Long non-coding RNA from Eublepharis macularius, 2505 nucleotides. RefSeq lists it as uncharacterized. NCBI's taxonomy places the organism in Eukaryota, Metazoa, Chordata, Lepidosauria, Squamata, Eublepharidae. The transcript has 2 exons. The record is from RefSeq and is a predicted model, not a curated record.
GAUGGACACCACCUUAAAUGGGCAGACCUUUACUUCUUUAUCUAUGCUGCUUGUUGUUUUUUAUAUCCGUUUUAAAUUAGUAGUCAGAUUUUAUUUUAUUCUUCUAGUACUCAAACAAUUUGUUUUCUGUCCUUCCAACUUUCCUACCAACAAAGGCAAGAUAAGUUUAAUCAAAGGCUGUUUGCUUCCUUCUGUUUUUAAUUCUGUUUUCAUUCGAUGGCAACUUUUGCUAAACAAAAUCUUUCUUUCUUUCUUUCUUUCUUUCUUUCUUGCUUGCUUGCUUGCUUGCUUGCUUGCUUGCUUGCUUGCUUGCUUGCUUGCUUGCUUGCUUGCUUGCUUGCUUGCUUGCUUGCUUGCUUAUCAAGCUGCUUGAACCCUGGAACUAUGCAUAGCUGAAGAACAUGCAGUCAUUCAUUUCCAUGAAAAAAGGAAUACCAGAAAGGGAGGAUCAUUCAGCAACUGGCUUCUCCUCCGAUUUCUACAUAUUCAAGGUAAUGUUUGCUUGCACGCGAGUACACAUAAGAUCUCUAAACACAAUCUAGACUUUGCAAAUUGAUGCUAUGGAUCAAACGGAUGCUAUGGAUUGUGUGUAAGGACAUGUUUGCUAUACAAACAACACCUUGAAUAUAUGGAAGUAGGGGUUGAGUUAAUGGGUGUAACCCCAAUCCCCUCUUCUAUGUUGAAUUCUUUGUAGAAAUAAUUGGUUUUCAGGAAAAACAAAGGCAACAACAUGCCUCCAUUAGGUACUGGAGUCAGUUUGUCCUCAUAAGGGCUGAAGUUUUCAGAGGUACAAUAUACUGUCUUGUGUAUCUAAUAUCAAGUAAGAUCUUGGUUCAGGGAACCCUUUUUGGUUUUGUACAGUUUUUUCAAGUGUUUGGUUUCUUAUAGAAAUAAUCAUUUCAGUGAAAUAUUACCUUCAUUUAUAGCCCAGUAACAGCUUAAUAGCUUUCAAAAGGAAACAGUCUUGAUUUUCAACAGAAAGCAUUAGCUCUAUCUGUAAGUCUGUUGUAUACAGCUACACUAAUAUCCACAGAAGUACAGUCAGUGGAUUACGGAUUUGAAUUUGUUUCAUUUACUCUUUAAGUCUUCCUGGGAAAAAUUAUAAAUAUUUUUCAGGACACUGAUUUGAAGUUCACAGUAGUAGAAUCUGAUUUGAUCUUUAGUUGAAGGCUUAUUAGACAAUAAUUCUUUGCAGCUAGAAAUAAUGUAAGUUGAAUACAGAGGCCCAAUUAAAGACUGCCAACAAAUAGUACAUAAAAAUUAAAAUUACUAUUUCCUAUUUCUUUUUACUUUGGAUAUUGGCUCUUUUCAUAGAGAACUCUUUGUGGACAUUAGAUUCUUUCAAACAUUGAAAUUUACAUAUCAGGUGGACACUGAGUUUCUGAAGUCUUUAGCCUGGUUUUCUUUACACAUUCCAUGCAGUCAGGAAACCUGGCUUUGCAAAGGGUUAACAUAAUGGGAGGUGAGAGAGAGCUGAUCUCACCUACUACCCGUAGGAACAUGUUCAUAAUGAAAAGGCAUUUCAAAGGAGGCAUGUUUGCAUGGAGGAAUUUCAGCAGACAGGUUCCUGCUCAGACCUUUUGUUCUCCAAAAGUUUCCAAAAACCUCCAGACAAGUCUUAACAUACCCAAGGGAGAGGCCUCAUAAGAGCAGGUUUGUACUUUAAAAUAAAAGCCUUCAAGCAUUUUGAAGUCCUACCUCAGCACUUGUGCGGUUUAGUAACUCAGAGUUGAAGAACCAUCUUUCAUGAUAUGAUAUCUCAUGAUCUCUGCAGGGGAAAUCCAACCCACUUCUACCUAAACCAUUUCACUAAACAUCUUUUGCAAAUCAUUUUUGCAAACCAUUAUUACUCUGAAAUAAGUCCCACUGAUUUAAUGAGAUAUAUUUCCAAAUAAAUGUGUUUUGUUCCUUAAUGAUUUUACUGUUUAAGAAGGUCUUUGGUAAAAGAUUUACAUGGGACAAAACAGGUAAAUAGAAACUUGGCCCCAUUUUUAGGCACUGGAAAAAGGAAUGUCCUUGGAGACAUUAAAAUACUUUUAUUUGAGUAUCUCAAGAGCCAUGGAUAAAGAAGAAAUCACUUGAGAUUCAGGGAGAAAUUUGUAAUCUGCUGUAGGAUGUUGGGUAACUGUUUAAUUUCAGUAUGCCUCAGUAUACCUCCUAUAAAAUGGGACUUAUAGGACUCCUACACUUCAUAGGCAAACUGGGAAUUAUAAAAGGCUACUGAAAACCAUCGGCAAUAGUAAGGUCAAUUUCCUUUAUGUAAAAUGAAAGUCAUUAUUUUUCACAGGGAUUUGUAUGAGACUAAUUGUAAAUCAUUUUAAUGUGCCCUUUUAUCUCUUCCUUUCUUCUUCAUUGUUCUUUUCUUUAUAAUAUUUAAAAAAUCUCUUCAAUUGCACCUUUAGAUGAAAGCUGCUCUGUAACAUCUGAGAGGGAAUGUUAAAUAAAAGUUAAUUCAACAUGCUGUGAAAUAAAGGAAACUCAUCCUUCAACAAAAUGUGAAAAUGA